GCUGGCGGCGUGCCUAAUACAUGCAAGUCGAGCGGUAACAGGGGGUCUCACCGUUUCCUUGACACACCUAGUGCUUAUGUCGUAGGUUGUGAAACUUCGAGGGAACAGUGAGAUCUUGCUGACGAGCGGCGGACGGCUGAGUAACGCGUGGGAACGGACCCCAAACUGAGGGAUAACGCACCGAAAGGUGUGCUAAUACCGCAUAUGCUCUUCGGAGUAAAGCUUUCGGGCGGUUUGGGACUGGCCUGCGUACGAUUAGAUAGUUGGCGGGGUAAUAGCCCACCAAGUCGACGAUCGUUAGAUGGUUUGAGAAGAUGAUCAUCCAGACUGGGACUGAGACACGGCCCAGACUCCUACGGGAGGCAGCAGUAGGGAAUCUUUCACAAUGGGCGAAAGCCUGAUGGAGCAACGCCGCGUGCAGGAUGACGGCCUUCGGGUUGUAAACUGCUUUUAUAACCGAGAAAUAUGAUGGUAAGUUAUGAAUAAGGACCGGCUAACUACGUGCC
Molecule: ribosomal RNA, 506 nt
Filed under: uncultured organism
Description: SSU rRNA
Rfam family: Bacterial small subunit ribosomal RNA
Source: RNAcentral